This is a non-coding RNA of Orchesella cincta, 46 nucleotides long. Lineage: Eukaryota; Metazoa; Arthropoda; Collembola; Entomobryomorpha; Orchesellidae. The record is from Rfam.
UCCUAGGCUGCUCUCGCAGCCACCAAGUUAGUUGUAGUAAAAGACU